CGGAAUAAAAACCUCUCUCUAGAAACUUUAUAAUAUUGUUACAGUACAUAAAAGACUUAUGUAUAUUGUAAAAUAAAAUCGGAAUAAAAACCUCUCUCUAGAAACUCUCCAACUUCUCUCUCAAAACAAAGUUCAUCUUCCAUGUCGGUGUGUGUGUUUUCCGGCGGUGGUGCGGCACCGUCGGAAUAGCUUUUGUUUUUGUUUUGUUCUUGCGUUUAAAGUGUCUGUUUAGUUUCCUCUCCAACAUCGGUGACAAUCGUUUUGCAUCGUCUGGUUGGUUUUUGACUCUGGUGUCAUCACCUUAUUCUCCGGUGAGGGCAGCCGGCUCUUGACUCUGAUUUCGACCUUUCUUCAAGGUGAAGUCGGCACGAUCGAUUCCCAAUCAAUGGAAUGUCUCUGUUUUUAAGUCUUGGUGUUUUGGUGUUGGAUGAAAUCUCGACUUCGGUCGAUCGAAGCUCUCUGUUAUAUGGUGGUUCCGAUGUGUGUGAAGAUCUUCUCUAUGAUUAUAGAUGUGAUAUGGAUUAGGGACGAUUGACGUUCUCCGGUCGAUGGAUAUGAGAAGAAGAUGUGGGCCUUAAAGCUGGUGGUUUCUUUGGGUGUGGUACUAUUCCCGGUUAGGUUCUGGUGGUUUGCCGUGUUUCCGGCGACGACAUGCAAUUUGGUGAAGGCGGUGGAGACUUUCCAACACGUGGGCUUUCGUCCUCGUGCUUUGAACACGUGGUAGGGAUGUGUUGUUUUCUCCUGUGCCGUGGGUUUACUUGGGCCAUUGUUGGGCUUUGUUCUUUUUUUGGGUUUAUGUUGUAGGUUUAUAUGCUGGUUGAAUGCCUUUUGUGUGGGCUUUUUAUAUCUCUAAAAGUAAUAUCAAUAAAUAUCGGUUGGCAAAAAAAAAAAAGACUUAUGUAUAUUGUAUUUUCAUACAUCGUACACGGUAUAUUGCGUGCGUACAAGAAAAGAAAAAACGGGGCAAAGCCUGACACAGGUUUAUAGAGUUGUCGGCUAUAAAAGUUUUGGGG
RNAcentral lists this long non-coding RNA (1013 nucleotides) under Brassica napus (rape). RNAcentral's name for it is "long non-coding RNA (BNAP_LNC026899)". Lineage: Eukaryota; Viridiplantae; Streptophyta; Magnoliopsida; Brassicales; Brassicaceae. The record is from RNAcentral.